Nicotiana tabacum (common tobacco) is the source of this 832-nucleotide non-coding RNA. The record is from RefSeq and is a predicted model, not a curated record. NCBI's taxonomy places the organism in Eukaryota, Viridiplantae, Streptophyta, Magnoliopsida, Solanales, Solanaceae.
CCCCCCAAACCCUAGAGACAUUUCAUCUCAUCCACCAUCCUUGCAUCCUCUUCUUCUCUCAUCCUCUCACACAGGCUACCUCUGAAACCUAACAUCAAUCCAUGUAAAAUCACUCAAGAUAACCAAAGAUUCAUCAUUUCUCUCUUUCAAUCGUGAGUCCCGCCGAGUAUUCUUUUUUCCUCAUCCGAUUUUGAAUCCCAAACCCCGAAACCCUAUAUCCCAAACAUGAAAGAGCUGGAAUCUCAUCAUUUUAUUCUUUUGCUCAUUCAAAACAUCACAUGCAGUUACAAAUUCAUUAGAUCUUGACCGCAUCAUGAUGGUCUAUUUUCCAGAGGUCAAAGACAGUGACCUCUGGACAUUGGCUUUGCCCGAAGCUCCGAUUGGCUUUAAGAGCUCCACUCGUCAUUUUGAGAGAUGGAAAUCAACCACAUCAUCCUGAAAAUGAACAAUGGUCGUGCGAGUGCCCCACAAGCUGAAACAAUGGUGGAGAAACAUCUGACGAGAACAUGGAGAUGGAAUCUGGAUACAUCUCGGAGCACUGACUGCACUGAUGAACAUUCGAGCUGAUAGAGCGCUCACUAGGUUGUUAAUAGAGCUCUGGGAUCUAGCCAAAGUGGUUUUCAAGUUUGUCAAUUGUGAUCUAACACCAACGCUCGGGGAAGUUACCAGUUUUACUGAGUUGUCAUUUUUCGGACGAAAACCCAUAUUAUCAGUCAUCAUGCUAGGUGUUACACCCCAUGUUUUCGUAUGAAAAAGUACGUUGUUAGUCAAUUGAUGUAGGCUCAAAAAUAAAAUUCUCUUUGAAAGUAUAUAAAGUAAGUUAAUCAUGUUA